This 919-nucleotide ribosomal RNA is filed under the name uncultured bacterium. RNAcentral's name for it is "bacterial SSU rRNA". It matches the Rfam family "Bacterial small subunit ribosomal RNA", at positions 8 to 912 of the family's 1533-position model. The record is from RNAcentral.
AGAGUUUGAUCAUGGCUCAGAACGAGCGCUGGCGGCGCGUUUUAAGCAUGCAAGUCGAACGGCAGGACUGGUAGCAAUACUGGUCUGAGAGUGGCGAACGGGUGAGUAAGACGUAGGUGAUCUACCCCUGGAUGGGGGAUAGUCCGUGGAAACACGGGGUAAUACCGCAUGAGGCCUUGGGGGUAAAGUCCUGAGGUGAAAGCUCCAAUUGGAGCGUCUGGGGAUGAGCCUGCGGCCCAUUAGGCAGUUGGCGGGGUAAUGGCCCACCAAACCGACGAUGGGUAGCCGGCCUGAGAGGGUGUACGGCCACACUGGAACUGAGACACGGUCCAGACUCCUACGGGAGGCAGCAGCUAAGAAUCUUCCGCAAUGGGGGAAACCCUGACGGAGCGACGCCGCGUGGACGAUGAAGGCCGCAAGGUUGUAAAGUCCUUUUGCAGGUGAAGAAUAAGCCGGGGAGUGGAAAGCCCUGGUGAUGACGUUAGCCUGCGAAUAAGCCCCGGCCAAUUACGUGCCAGCAGCCGCGGUAAUACGUAUGGGGCGAGCGUUGUUCGGAGUUAUUGGGCGUAAAGGGCGUGUAGGCGGCCCGAGAAGUCUGGUGUGAAAUCGCAGGGCUCAACCCUGCGGGUGCGCUGGAAACUGACGGGCUGGAGUCCCGGGGGGGAAGCUGGAAUUCCUGGUGUAGGAGUGAAAUCUGUAGAGAUCAGGAAGAACACCGGUGGCGAAGGCGAGCUUCUAUUCGAGGACUGACGCUGAGGCGCGAAAGCGUGGGGGAGCAAACAGGAUUAGAUACCCUGGUAGUCCACGCUGUAAACGAUGUGCACUAGGCGUGGGGCACGUCGGUGCUCUGUGCCGAAGUUAACGCGAUAAGUGCACCGCCUGGGGAGUAUGCUCGCAAGGGUGAAACUCAAAGGAAUUG